GCAAAUGAAAAGGAAGAAGGAGGCAUGACCCUAAGUGAAAAUGCAAGUGACACUUAGAGCCACUUGACACACUUUCACCCAAAGAUGCGCAACUAAACUAUUACAAUGUUUAAUGGAGGACUUGGAAUUGCUUGGAAAUAAUUUUCCCAAGUCACACAAGUUUCAAAAAGGAAAAACAAUUAACAACAAAGGUUUCGUGAUACUAAGCCAAUAGUACAAGUAAAAGUGUUUGCAAAUAAACAACCAAGUGUGGCUGAUGUUUCAUAUUGCUGGAAUGCCAAAUUUUUUGGUAUGUUUUGCUACUGAAAAAAGGGCUGGAACAACAAUGUUCAAGUUCUCUUGGAGUCCAAGCUUGUGGCAACUUUAACAAGUCUUCCACUCCUUAAGAUGCUACCCCUUUGGAGAAACAAUCUAGAUAGUUAAAACUGCACCAUAAUGUCACAACAAGCCAAACAAACCAGUAAACACAGUUAGCACAAAACACGUUACUACAUCAGUUUUUCUUUCCAAACCAGGUUGCACUUUGGCAUUUUAGCAAACAGGUUGUGUACAAAAUUUCCAAACAAUGUAAAUCAAGAAAUUAAGGGCUGGAAAGGCAGGAUGGCACACAAAAGGAACAUAUGAUAUGCUUUAGAGUAGAUCAAUAAAACAAUUAAACGAAAACAAGCUGCAAUGGUGUCGAAAUCGAACUCAAUACAAAGUGGACAAAUCUGUUUGACAAAAUGCCCCAAAGGGAAACCAGAUUUGUGUCUAAAAAUUUCUGAUGUUGCUGAUGCAGAUUUGUUUAAAAUGGAUUGUACUGGUCUAGUUGAUUUUUAAAAAUGUGGUUAAUGAUAUUUUGAGGUAUAAUGCAAUAUUUGUGGUACCAAGUUAUUUCUACAAUCCAUACACAAUUGUGAAAUGCACAAAUCAAAUUCAAAACUUUUGCAGCAGCUGAUUUCUAGAGAAAAUAGGCUUAAAAUGGCUUAUUUGAGAGGCAUUUUUGUACAGAGAAAUUUAGACACCUAAUUUGAUGGUUGGAGCAACUUUGUAUCAAUAAUUUGAAGGUGUUCAAACAGUCAAACAGCCAAGAAACACACUAUAGCAGAAAUUGACUAGUUCACUUCCAAAUUAAAGCAAAUUUGAUGGUUUAGGAAGUGAUUUUGCACAUCGACUUAAAAUGGACCAAAUGAACAGUGCAUACAUGUUUCAAAUGGUAAAAUACAAUUACACAAAUGUUCACAAUGCACUGAAAUGAACAGAUUUGACAAAACACCUCUACUGUAGCCAAUUAUGCAACACUUUUUACACAAAAUUUGCACUAGAACAAGGGUGACAAUAGUAACUACAGUAGUCAAAAUGAAUUGCAGUGUACUCAAGGCUUAAAGGAUACUUCAAACAGGUUUAUAUUAUCAAAUGGAAUGUGUGCAAACUGUGAAACAAUGAAGACAAAGUCCAGUUCAAAAUUUCACUGGUUCACUUCCCAAAUUUGACAAAAGUUGGCUGUUUCAAAUGUGAAGUUGCACCAAACGCCGAAAAAUUACAAAUUCAACAGUUCACACAAGUUUGUACUGAGCAGAUACACUUAUACAAAUGUUCAAAUAGUACAAAUAGACACAAAUUUCCCAAAUGACAAUAGCAAUUGCUUAAAAUGUAUAAAAAUAAAGUUAAAUUACAGUAGAAUGAAAAUUUCAGUAGAGUCAAUGUUGGCUAGUUCAAUCAAAUGCAGAGGAAUUAUCCUAAUCAACUAGAUCUAGUUGCAGAUGAUCAACUAGGAGAUAUUAAGUGACCUCAGAUUCAACAAUGACAAAAGCACGGUGCAAAACUUGUGGACAACGUUUGACAAUUUCUGAAAACUUGAAAGUAAUCAACUCAAUCAUUCAUUUGGCAAAUUUGUGAUUCAUAUGAGUUAUGAUACUUCUAGCAAUGCUUAACAACACUAAAGAAACUUGUUCAAAGCUUUAAAAUCCAGAAAUCUGAACAGAAACAGAUUAUAGCAAAUCAAACUAGAAAAUGAUUAUUCUGCAAAAUUUGGAUUGGAAAAAUCAAUGUGCACUGGUGUAAGCUCAAAUGAUCAAAGUUGGACAUGAUGUCAUUGCUUAUACGAUCAACAUAUAGCUUGCAACAAACUGGACACACUUAAAAACUGAAAAAUUAAAGUUGGAGUGGAUUGAAACCAGUGAAACACGACAAUCACUUGCACAUGAUCGAACAAAAUUGGAAAAUGAAAAUUAAAAGCUUAAAUGACGAAAACCAAUGAACUGCACCGAUUAAAAUAAUAAAGAAACAGUAAGGAACAGUGAAAGAAAGCAAUUAUCCACUCAAACACAAAAUCAAACCAGGAAAUGUAAUGGAACAGUGAAAACAAUGAACAAAACAACACGAAAGAAAGAAAAAUUGAAAGAAAUAAUACUUAGCUCUUGAAGCAUGGUGUGGAUUCAACUGGCUCUAGAUGUCAAAUGAUGGAAGCGACCUCCACCUUCAAGAAUGGAGUGGCUCCUUGAUUCAGAAGUGGCAGCGGAAUGAAGAAUGGAUUGGAGAUGUUCUGUGAUUGCAAGGUGUUUGUGGUAAUGUGUGACUAUGUUUGGAUGUGGUGUGAAGUGAAGUUCUAACUCAGAAAGCUUUCCUAAGGGGAAAUGAGCUAGAGGGAGAGCAAGCUAAAGAGGCUCUAAGUUUGAACUCGAGAGAAUGGAUGGAUUUUGGCAGCAUUUCAUUAUCAUACUCAAGUUAUUUAUACAAGAGAUCAAGCUUCUUUUUUAUAGAUGGAGAAGAGUAAUGAGUCGUGUAGAGGAAGCUACGGGAAUGUGCAAAUACAUGUGUUGAAAAUGCAUAUCCCACGUGGAUUUCAAGCUCUAUGCCAAACACUUUUAUCACGUGUUUAAUGAGUUAAAUGCUGACUUUGAUAUGGCUAAGCGAAGAAGGGUUUUGGUUGGGCACCCUUCUUUUCCUUUGAUAUUUCAAGGCAUCUUUUCAUUCAUCUUUAGCAUUCUUGUUGAAUUCUGUGUGCCUUCCUUUGCUUGGCCAUCUUUGGCAAGGUUUUCCUCCUUUAUUUGGUGAUCUACAAAACAAAAUAAAUGUAUCUUAGGUAAAG
This 3070-nucleotide long non-coding RNA is filed under the name Vigna radiata. RNAcentral describes it as "long non-coding RNA (VRAD_LNC009954)". Lineage: Eukaryota; Viridiplantae; Streptophyta; Magnoliopsida; Fabales; Fabaceae. The record is from RNAcentral.